RNAcentral lists this ribosomal RNA (484 nucleotides) under uncultured bacterium. RNAcentral describes it as "bacterial SSU rRNA". It matches the Rfam family "Bacterial small subunit ribosomal RNA", at positions 8 to 518 of the family's 1533-position model. The record is from RNAcentral.
AGAGUUGAUCAUGGCUCAGAACGAACGCUGGCGGCAUGGAUUAGGCAUGCAAGUCGAACGGGAGCAGCAAUGCUCCAGUGGCGCAAGGGUGAGGAACACGUGAACAACCUGCCUUCGAGUUGGGGAUAGCUUCUGGAAACGGGAGAUAAUACCGAAUAACAUCAACCGGUCGCAUGACUGGUUGAUCAAAGCAGCAAUGCGCUUGAAGAGGGGUUCGCGUCCCAUUAGCUAGUUGGUGAGGUAACGGCCCACCAAGGCGAUGAUGGGUAGCUGGUCUGAGAGGACGAUCAGCCACAUUGGGACUGAGAUACUGCUCAGACUCCUACGGGAGGCAGCAGUGAGGAAUAUUGGGCAAUGGAGGCAACUCUGACCCAGCCAUGCCGCGUGAGUGAAGAAGGUUUUCGAAUUGUAAAGCUCUUUCGGGUGUGACGAUGAUGACGGUAACACCUAAAGAAGCCCCGGCAAACUUCGUGCCAGCCGCGGC